UACGAGGGAUGCAAGCGUUAUCCGGAAUUAUUGGGCGUAAAGCGUUUGUAGGCGGGCGAGUGUGUUUAAUGUUAAAUCUUAAAGCUCAACUUUGAAAUUGCGUUAAAAACUGCUUGUCUUGAGUAUGGUAGGGGUAAAGGGAAUUCCCAGUGUAGCGGUGAAAUGCGUAGAUAUUGGGAAGAACACUAAACAGCGAAGGCACUUUACUAGGCUAAUACUGACGCUGAGAAACGAAAGGUAAGGUAGCGAAACGGAUUAGAUACCCGUGUAGUCUUACCCGUAAACUAUGGACACUAAACGGUAAAUUUUUAAUUUACUGUUAAAGCUAACGCGUUAAGUGUCCCGCCUGGGGAGUAUGCUUGCAAAAGUGAAACUCAAAGGAAUUGACGGGGGCCCGCACAAGCGGUGGAGCAUGUGGUUUAAUUCGACGGUACACGAAGAACCUUACCAGGAUUUGACAUGCUAGAUAGUUGCUUGAAAGAGUAACGUGCCGUAAGGAAUCUAGACACAGGUGGUGCAUGGCUGUCGUCAGUUCGUGUUGUGAAAUGUUGGGUUAAGUCCCGCAACGAACGCAACCCUUGUCUUUAGUUAUUUUCUAAAGAGACUGCCUGUAAUAAACAGGAGGAAGGUAAGGAUGAGGUCAAGUCAUCAUGCCCCUUAUGUCCUGGGCUACACACGUGCUACAAUGGGAAAGACAAUGAGCUGCAAAUCUGUAAAUUUAAGCAAAUCUCUUAAACUUUCUCGUAGUUCGGAUUGUGGGCUGCAACUCGCCCACAUG
This 778-nucleotide ribosomal RNA is filed under the name uncultured bacterium. RNAcentral's name for it is "bacterial SSU rRNA". It matches the Rfam family "Bacterial small subunit ribosomal RNA", at positions 524 to 1322 of the family's 1533-position model. The record is from RNAcentral.